This is a non-coding RNA of Solanum lycopersicum (tomato), 1078 nucleotides long. Lineage: Eukaryota; Viridiplantae; Streptophyta; Magnoliopsida; Solanales; Solanaceae. The record is from RefSeq and is a predicted model, not a curated record.
UAGUCGUUGCAAUCAAAUUCAUGGUUGCUCCAUAUGUAUUUUACUGAAAUCGUUAGGAAAUAUCCUAUAGUGUUAUUUGAUAAAGUUAUGUGCUAAGUGUUUGCUUAACUCCUUAUAUUAGUCUACAGUUAUUAAGGACAUGAUUAAGUAAAUAAAAAUGUACUCUCUUGAUAGCUUUAGAUUUUAGAUGAGAUGGUCACAUUUCAAUGUUGUAAUAGAUCAGACAGAGAUGUUGGAUUUAAUCUUGUUGGCACCUAUUAGUAAAAAGGUUUUCCAUGUGUUUGAAUCAGUAAAGAGGAUCAAGUCUGAACAUACGACAUUAUAAGUGUACUCUCUUUAACGACUUCAUCUUUUACAUCAGAUAGUAACACAUUAAAUAUAGAACAAAGCACAAAGACUUCUGCUAAGAUUUAUUACUCCCUCGAAAACAUAUCCUUGUGUUUUAUUCAUGGACUAUAUAGGAUGUUUAAACCAAUAAAUAGAGCCUGUUAAUCUGAUAAAAACUAGUCAGAUUGAUAAACACUUGACACAUAAUUUUUUUUUACUUUUUGUAAGGUUAUAACGUGUUUUUUCGAGUGAAAAUUUAUCCUCUUGUUUCCAUGAAUUAUUUCAUAUGUAAAAAUCAUACAUACGAAUGAAACAUUUUUGUUAUUAACUAGUGAAAUUGUGCUUUUCCGAUACAGAGCACUUGCGGACAAGGAUUAUACUUGUAAAUUUGUACAAUAUACAUUUGACUAGUUUACACCUUCAGGGUUUAAAGAGUUUCAAUUACAACUCAAGAUGAGAACUUUGAAGAUUUAUCAAGUUGAGAAAUUAAUCAGGAAAAAAAUAUAAAAAUAUUAUUGUUCUAUGAGAUUUUAUAAACCAUAUCAUGAUAUAUGUAUUGUGUUCAUACUGCUACAAGUGGGAUUUAUUCUCCCCUCUUCUGCCAGGGUUUGAAUUUGGUUAAGGAGCUCUUGAAUGCGUUGUUCCACCAGCUCCGAAAAAACAGCAGGCACAUGCUCUAAUAUAUUUUGUAGUUAUUACAAAUUUUUAAUCUAUAAAUAUUUUUUCGUAUUGCAAAUUUUGAAUUUAUUGA